UACGUAGGGUGCGAGCGUUGUCCGGAAUUAUUGGGCGUAAAGAGCUUGUAGGCGGUUUGUCGCGUCUGCCGUGAAAAUUCGAGGCUCAACCUCGAACUUGCGGUGGGUACGGGCAGACUAGAGUGUGGUAGGGGAGACUGGAAUUCUCGGUGUAGCGGUGAAAUGCGUAGAUAUCGAGAGGAACACCUGCGGCGAAGGCGGGUUGCUGGGCUGAUACUGACGCUGAGGCGCGAAAGCCAGGGGAGCGAACAGG
Molecule: ribosomal RNA, 253 nt
Filed under: uncultured bacterium
Lineage: Bacteria
Description: partial 16S ribosomal RNA
Rfam family: Bacterial small subunit ribosomal RNA
Source: RNAcentral